Molecule: ribosomal RNA, 497 nt
Filed under: uncultured bacterium
Lineage: Bacteria
Description: partial 16S ribosomal RNA
Rfam family: Bacterial small subunit ribosomal RNA
Source: RNAcentral
GAUGAACGCUGGCGGCGUGCCUAAUACAUGCCAGUCGAGCGAACGGACGAGGAGCUUGCUCCUCUGACGUUAGCGGCGGACGGGUGAGUAACACGUGGAUAACCUACCUAUAAGACUGGGAUAACUUCGGGAAACCGGAGCUAAUACCGGAUAAUAUAUUGAACCGCAUGGUUCAAUAGUGAAAGACGGUUUUGCUGUCACUUAUAGAUGGAUCCGCGCCGCAUUAGCUAGUUGGUAAGGUAACGGCUUACCAAGGCGACGAUGCGUAGCCGACCUGAGAGGGUGAUCGGCCACACUGGAACUGAGACACGGUCCAGACUCCUACGGGAGGCAGCAGUAGGGAAUCUUCCGCAAUGGGCGAAAGCCUGACGGAGCAACGCCGCGUGAGUGAUGAAGGUCUUCGGAUCGUAAAACUCUGUUAUUAGGGAAGAACAAAUGUGUAAGUAACUAUGCACGUCUUGACGGUACCUAAUCAGAAAGCCACGGCUAACUACGUG